RNAcentral lists this ribosomal RNA (1023 nucleotides) under Mucor hiemalis f. silvaticus. Its description in RNAcentral is "LSU rRNA". It matches the Rfam family "Eukaryotic large subunit ribosomal RNA", at positions 38 to 968 of the family's 3401-position model. Lineage: Eukaryota; Fungi; Mucoromycota; Mucoromycetes; Mucorales; Mucoraceae. The record is from RNAcentral.
GCAUAUCAAUAAGCGGAGGAAAAGAAAAUAACAAUGAUUUCCCUAGUAACGGCGAGUGAAGAGGAAAGAGCUCAAAGUUGGAACCUGUUUGGCUUAGCUAAACCGGAUUGUAAACUGUAGAAGUGUUUUCCAGACACGCCUGGUAAAAAAGUCCUUUGGAACAGGGCAUCAUAGAGGGUGAGAAUCCCGUCUUUGGCCAGAGCUGUUGUCUUUUGUGAUACAUUUUCAAAGAGUCAGGUUGUUUGGGAAUGCAGCCUAAAUUGGGUGGUAAAUCUCACCUAAAGCUAAAUAUUUGCGAGAGACCGAUAGCGAACAAGUACCGUGAGGGAAAGAUGAAAAGAACUUUGAAAAGAGAGUUAAACAGUAUGUGAAAUUGUUAAAAGGGAACCGUUUGGAGCCAGACUGGCUUGAUCGUAAUCAAUCUAGGCUUCGGCCUGGAUGCACUUGCGGUCUAUGCCUGCCAACGACAGUUUUAUUUGGGGGAAAAAAUUAUUAGGAAUGUGGCCCUUCGGGGUGUUAUAGCCUUUUAAAAAAUACCCUGGAUUGGACUGAGGAACGCAGUGAAUGCCUUUAGGCAAGAUUGCUGGGCGCUUUCGUUAAUACAUGCUAGAAUUUCUGCUUUGGGUGGUGCUAGUGUGUAGCGAUGGAACUCGCUUGGUAUAUUUUUUAUUCGCUUAGGUUGUUGGCUUAAUGACUCUAAAUGACCCGUCUUGAAACACGGACCAAGGAGUCCACCAUAAGUGCAAGUAUUUGGGUGCCAAACCCAUAUGCGUAAGGAAACUGAUUGAUACGAAACCCUUGAGGUGGCAGUAUCACCCGGCGUUGACGUUUUAUACUGAACUGACCGCGGUAAAGCACUUAUGAUGGGACCCGAAAGAUGGUGAACUAUGCCUGAAUAGGGUGAAGCCGGAGGAAACUCCGGUGGAGGCUCGUAGCGAUUCUGACGUGCAAAUCGAUCGUCAAAUUUGGGUAUAGGGGCGAAAGACUAAUCGAACCAUCUAGUAGCUGGUUCCUGCCGAAGUU